This 238-nucleotide long non-coding RNA is filed under the name Lathyrus oleraceus (garden pea). RNAcentral describes it as "Pisum sativum (pea) long non-coding RNA (PSAT_LNC007673)". The record is from RNAcentral. Lineage: Eukaryota; Viridiplantae; Streptophyta; Magnoliopsida; Fabales; Fabaceae.
AAACCUCCUCCAAUCAUUUGUACACGCAAGGCACACGUGGAAGCCAACUCACCAAAACCCUAACAAUUACAGAGACGCCGGAGCUAAGCUCCGGUCGUCUUCUCCGGCCAUCUCCGGCGACAUUCAGACCAAUUUUUUUCCAGAAUCCAUCGAAGCAUACAUCAUUCGAAUCCUCUCACCAUGUACAUUCCAAAUAUCAUAUCCAUUGAUCCUAAUUCCUACCAGGUUUUCCAGAUCG